GAAAUGCCAAUCGAACCUGGAGAUAGCUGGUUCUCUCCGAAAUAGCUUUAGGGCUAGCCUCAAGGUAAGAGUCUCGGAGGUAGAGCACUGAUUGGACUAGGGGCCCCUACCGGGUUACCGAAUUCAGUCAAACUCCGAAUGCCGAUGACUUAUCCUUGGGAGUCAGACUGCGAGUGAUAAGAUCCGUAGUCGAAAGGGAAACAGCCCAGACCGCCAGCUAAGGUCCCAAAGUAUACGUUAAGUGGAAAAGGAUGUGGAGUUGCUUAGACAACCAGGAUGUUGGCUUAGAAGCAGCCACCAUUUA
This 304-nucleotide ribosomal RNA is filed under the name Bacillus safensis. Its description in RNAcentral is "bacterial LSU rRNA". It matches the Rfam family "Bacterial large subunit ribosomal RNA", at positions 823 to 1125 of the family's 2925-position model. Lineage: Bacteria; Bacillati; Bacillota; Bacilli; Caryophanales; Bacillaceae. The record is from RNAcentral.